Cucumis sativus (cucumber) is the source of this 935-nucleotide long non-coding RNA. RefSeq lists it as uncharacterized. The transcript has 2 exons. Lineage: Eukaryota; Viridiplantae; Streptophyta; Magnoliopsida; Cucurbitales; Cucurbitaceae. The record is from RefSeq and is a predicted model, not a curated record.
ACAAACUCGUGAAGCAUGCCAUACUAUUCAUCUUCUUCCCCAAGAGAAAAGAAAACCCUAAAUGCCGUUGCCGCCCUUGUCUUCUCUGUUUAAUGUCGCGCAACCCUACGUUCACGCCUUUCUCUAUUGAGUCGAGAAGAUCUGACUUGACCGUCGAUCGCAUCAAGGGUCGAGUGGUUUCGAAGCUCCAUCUUCAUCAUGUCCUCUUCUCCAUCUCGAGUCUUUGUCGUUCAUUAUAGAUUGGAGUUGUUUCUUCGCAAGUCGUGCAUGUUCCAGCCGACGUUCCUUUGUUCACCGUCACCUCCCAAUCACGAUCAUCGAAGCCCAACCGCGUGCAUCCAUUUUUCCUCACGCUCGAGCUGAUCUCCUUACACCUAAGCCAAUGCUUCACGUCCGAGCGAUCCCCUCUAUAUGAGUCACCUGAGUCGAUUGUUUCUCCCAACCGAGCCACAACCCUUUUCCCAAGUCAAGUUACAUUUUUGGUACUCUUGAACCACUUUUGGUCAUUGGCAUUUUGGGAAAAAAUGGUGUGGUUGUGAACUUAUUUCCAUACAAGGUUGUUUUGGAUUCAACCUUAGCCUUAAGGUAAACUUACGUUAAACUUGGAUGUUAAGUGACAAAUUUUAUUAAUUUAAGUUUCGUUAAGUUUAGGAUUCAUAUGUUUGGGGAGCUUUGACUGGUGUUGAUAUGAUUAAAUAUUAUUUAGCUAGUCGCGAGGUAAGAGAUUCUCUUAUUAGACCUUCAACAUUGAAGCAUGCAUGUAUGUUCCUUAUUAUGCAUUAAUGUAGGCAAGAUGCAUAAUAUGACUAUUAGAUAUGAAUGUUAUGAAUGACUACAUAGAUGACCAUUAUGUAUGAACGAGAUAUGUAUAAUUAAGAUAUGUUAUGACCACAAUACAUUAUGAACGAGAUAUGCUAUGAUUGUUAUACUUAUGA